This 773-nucleotide ribosomal RNA is filed under the name Scaphium scaphigerum. RNAcentral's name for it is "eukaryotic LSU rRNA". The stretch from base 339 to 494 matches the Rfam family "5.8S ribosomal RNA". Lineage: Eukaryota; Viridiplantae; Streptophyta; Magnoliopsida; Malvales; Malvaceae. The record is from RNAcentral.
AAGUCGUAACAAGGUUUCCGUAGGUGAACCUGCGGAAGGAUCAUUGUCGAAACCUGCCCCGCAGAACGACCCGCGAACGUGUUAUUAACACACCCGAGGGGGCCAGGAUGCCACCGUGCCCCGAACCCCCUCUCAGCCAGGGCGAGCGUGACGGUCCCUAUGCUUCGCCACUCAGGUGGACUCGGUGCCCGUUCCCUCCGCUCAUGGCAUAUCAACGAACCCCCGGCGCGAAUCGCGCCAAGGAACUAUAAAGAAAAAGAGCACGUGGACCGUCACGGCCCCGUUCGCGGUGCGUCUGUGUGCGGUCUCGUGACUCCUUUCCUUUGAAUAUCUAGAAUGACUCUCGGCAACGGAUAUCUCGGCUCUCGCAUCGAUGAAGAACGUAGCGAAAUGCGAUACUUGGUGUGAAUUGCAGAAUCCCGUGAACCAUCGAGUCUUUGAACGCAAGUUGCGCCCCAAGCCAUUAGGCCGAGGGCACGCCUGCCUGGGUGUCACGCAUCGUCGAUCCCCCCAACCACCCUUGACCCUCUUGGGCUACGGGCAAACAAAGGGGACGGAAAUUGGCCUCCCGUGUGCUCCCCGCUCGCGGUUGGCCCAAAUACGAGUCCUCGGCGACGGAAGCGCCGCGACGAUCGGUGGUAAUGCUCCUAGCUUCCCUCUAUGGUCGUGAGUGCCCGACGUCCGUACGGACCCCCUUCAAGACCCUGAAUGCAUCGCUCGAACGAUGCUCGCAUCGCGACCCCAGGUCAGGCGGGAUUACCCGCUGAGUUUAA